Mercenaria mercenaria is the source of this 5148-nucleotide long non-coding RNA. RefSeq lists it as uncharacterized. The record is from RefSeq and is a predicted model, not a curated record. Lineage: Eukaryota; Metazoa; Mollusca; Bivalvia; Venerida; Veneridae. The transcript has 2 exons.
UGCAUGUGCCAAUAAACAGUUUUUGAUAGGCGAAAAACCUUUUGUCAUUCUAUUUUCGUAAUGAAAACUAUGAAACGGACAUAUUACAAGGUCAUUUCACAACUAGAGGAUGUUUACAGAUUGACAGUAAUUUACAGAAAGGAGUGUUUUGCAUUAAUUACAAUGUCUUUUAAUAUGAUACGGACACACAAAAAUUAAUGUAAGAGGAAUAAAGCGGCAAAUGUAGAUAUAAUGAGCUCAAAAUAUGUAAGACACUGCGAUCCCUGCCGGUUUAGGGAUAAAAGGGUAACGGCACUAUAUUUCUGUCAAAAUUGUAUGGAAUAUUAUUGCAAGAGAUGCAGGAAACAACACUUAAAGUUUCGGCUUACAAUGGGACAUUUGAUGCUUGAGGAAAAGCAUGGAAAUUUUGCAACAGUCGAUAAAUGUAUAAUACAUGAUGCUGCUGGUCUAGGCAAUAAACUUGAUAGAUACAGUACAGAAAGUGUGUUCUCAAAUUCAGAAUUCUACGACUACGACGCAGAAAUUUUGGAGACCGAUGCCGCUCGGCACUGCCAUUUAGAAGGAAAAUGCAUCGUUCGUGUGGAUAGUUGCAGCAUUUCACUUACAGAGGUUGCAAAUCACAUGACACUUUGUUGGCCAUAUACCUGCAUCAGAAAGUAUGGCAGUAUGGACACUAAAAUGUUCUUUUUUGAAAGUGGUAGAAGAUGUGGGACAGGAGAAGGGCGAUAUGUGCUGAUGAUGCAUGACGCUGUAAUUUUGCACAAAAACAUGACAAAUUUCAUCAGAUGUAUUGAAAAGAAGAUACAACUUUAAAAAUACAAAUAUACAUUAUUACAAUAUUUAUCCAAAUGACAAACUCUUUCCUCAAAAGGGUUGAUUUUUCCAGUUUUCUUGGUUAUGUUGGUAUUUAGAUGUAUGUAAUAUGUUCCCAUAUUUUUGUUUUCUGUAUAAUGACCUAUAAUCGUAAUGAGGAGAAGGAUUAAGUUUUACAGUAAUGUUAUUUUCAUAUAUACAAAAGAGAUACCGGUAGUAGUUUUUCAAAGGCUCUUCAGUAUGCCUGUGAGAAGUUAGUAGUAUAAUGAUCUACAUUUAUCAUUUUAAAGGCACACGCUACAGUUUUUCUGGACGGGUCGAUAUUUACCCCAACACCGUGCCAAUUUGGUUGUGUUACUCAUCGAUGUAGCUCACUGCAAAGUUGUUGUGGCCCUCUGCGCAUGCUCGGAAGUGAUUAUCUAAUGUCGCGUACAGCAAAAUUUCGCAAAUUAUUGUAUGUUCGCAUGCAUUUAAUGUACAAAAUGUAUAAUAUACUGACUAAAAGGUUAGGGUAAGUAUCACAAAGGUUACAAAAUAUAUACAUUUAAAGUACUUCUAGUUCAAAUUGCUUCAAUCCGACAUAUACUGGAGUCUGUUAUUUAUACCAGCGCUCAAACUCUGCAUUGAAUCACAGCUGUUUCUAAUCCCGUACCGUACCCGUACCGUACAUUCGUAAACUAUAGGUUUUGUUAAAAAAAAAAGGCGGAAACUUUUAUCGUUCUAUGCCAUCAAAAUGCUUCAGAAACACCUUAAAAUCCGCUUAUUAAGAAAUCUGCCGUUUGAUAAUUUUAUAUAUAUAUAUAUAUAUAUUUCUAAGUCAUUUGCUCCAACACUGAAAGAGUAUUUCGUACCAACCUGCGUUGUAUAAAUGCCCGCCACACCCCACCUCGUUGUAAUUUGAUUUAAGCGAAAUCUAAUAUGGUGACCUAUCAAUUUUCUUUUUGUUUUAGAUUACGUAGACAUAACCAAAGGUAUGUGCAGAGUUUGAUAAAAUUCUAUUAUGUGAAAGUCGAUAAAAUAGCAGAAGUACCAACUUAAAACUGACAAAAAUAUGCAAUAAUAGCCCUUGGGUCUGCUGAACAAGUAUUCCUUUCUUUACAAAAUCAUGUUCUUUUGAUUUCUCUGAGCAUGUUUCAAAUAGAUAUAAUAUUGUUUUCCGUUAUAAAAAUGCUUAGAUAAUCAAAUUUAUGCUGAUUAUUGUACUUUACUGAAAUGUAUUUUAGGAUUACAGAAAUUUUGAAAAAUGUUUAAAAUAGCACCAUAUCUAGGGGCAAAUUAAAUUGAAACAAAGCUGGUGACCUAGUAUUUUUAUUUCAUUUUUCAAUACAUCAUAACAUGAUCUUUUAAUACAAAACAUUUCAUCAAAAUCUAUUAUUGAGAAAAAAAUUACGAAACUGUAGCGAGCGUCCUUAAAAUAAACUAACUAAAUUGUCAUGGAGAAAUAAUGGCUUUUAGUUUUUACAUAUAUUGUUCUAAUAUAAAUAAUUUAAGAAUAAUAUCAUUUUCAAAGGAUUUAAUGUUGUUCUUGUGACAAACUAUUACUGUGAAGAGAGGGGGUAUGUAAAGCUAUAAUUACUCUUAGAUAUGUUAAUGGUAAAUAGUUUUAAAGGAUCAGCAGUUAAUCUUGUAAGAAAUGUCAGUAUAAUCAUUAUAAUAUAAUGACAUACAGUUGUCUUAAAGCCAAUGGUUAUGUAAUGAGACACGAUGAAGAAAUGUUAUCAUUUUCAUAUAAUUUAUCUUUGUGAGAAAUUAUCAAUAUAAUGAUUUUCUGUAGUUACAAUUUUGAGAAAAUAUCUUUAUUAUAAUGUAUAUGUUAAUGUGUUUACUUUAUGUAGUUUUUCAUGAUGUAUAGUUUUCAUUUUGACAUUUGACCUACAGUUGUUGUCAAGGUUUGGUUUUCAGUUAUUUCAAAGUUGUAUAGUCAUCCCUGUGACAUUUAUCAUAUGACAGACUUAAGGGUUUAGUUAGUGAGUAUAAUUUAAGUUAACGGAUCGUAUGGGUUUUUUUUUGUUCUGAUGAUGAUUAAUAGUAAUCACAUUUAUAAGUUAUCAAAUCCAGGAUGUCAUAAUGUAAGAGAAGAAAAAAAUGUUGUAAAUAUUUUUAUAUAUUCAGUUAUAUAUAUAUAUUAUAUAAUAUAAAACCAUCAAUAAGUAGACGGACUCUGCGUAAGGAGUUUGAAUGAUGUUAAAGGUAUAGGUCAGAAAAGAUAUUUACACUAGUAAGUUUUACGGAAACCGAAAUGAUAUUAAAUAAGUGAGGAAAAGAGUUUAUAAAGUAAUACCGGUAUAUCAGGAGAAUAUUAAUUCACAAAUCACAGUCUAUGGAAUGUAUCUGUAGGAUUCUAAAAGGCUUGUACUAAAAAAGAGAAUAUAAAAUCAUGGUUAUCCCCAAAGGUAGCAAAAAGGCCGAUACCGUACGUAGCAAUGACAGGACAAGAAUAUAUAUGUUGAGUAAUCCUACACUUAGUGUGGAUUACAAGGAAGCUAUGAGCUGGAAGUACGAAUUAUCUCUUCUGGAUAAUCUGAACAAAACUUUUUUUCUGAGGGCAGCAGAAGUGUUUGUAAAAGUAAAUUACUAGUUUCUGUAAACAUUCUGAAUUGUAUAUCAGAACUGUACCGCAGUACCGAAAGAAGGCAGAUUUUUUUUAGGCUUUGUGGGAUUUAAUACACUUAAUUUAAUACACUUAAAUUUUUUACAAACAGAAUAUUUUCAAAUAAUAAAGAUUGUAUGUUUUCGUUCAUAAUGAAAACAGAUCAAUGAAACAACUGUUCAAAAAUAGUCAUUGAUAAACAAAAAAUAAACUGUCGGUUAAAGAAUUAUUUAGCUGAUACUUGUUUGCUCAUCACCUCUAAAGUAAACAUUAAGGACAAUGUUCACUCUUAAGCCAUAUAUGGCCUACACAAACUGAAUAAUUUUCAAAUUGGUUAUAAUUGAAAAAUUGCAACUCUGUAGUGAAUUUGGCUUUUUCGACACAGAUGUAUCAGUUUAUUUUAAAGAUGUCGCUGAAUAUUGCUGAACCAGGAUUUUUAUUGUCAUUAUUUUGUUGUGGACGACAGCUGUGACUGUAUUGAAAAUUUCAGAUUUGUUUAAAAAUUUAGUUUAAAAUGAUGGUUUCCCAUAGCUGUAAUGUUAAAAGGGUUUUCAUUUACGUCACAUAUUUUCUUCGAGUAGGAAUAACUUGAAUAAUAUUGCAUGCAGUUUGAUGGAACAAUACUUUUUGAUGAAAAAAAACUUGGAAUUUAGCUCAUUUACAGACUUGCAUACUGGACAAAAGUGAACCUUUCCCUUUAACAAAGUUAGAUUUAUGUACAUAACCGGUUGGCAUUUUCAAUAUUUUAUCAUAUUCAUUAAGGAGAGCAGACUGAACAACUGGGGAAAACAUACAUUGGUCUUCAAAGCUUUGGAAUGCAAAUAAUGAGACAUCAUUAAAUAAAAAGAACGACACUCCAGUAGUUCCCCUUUUGGGUAUGAUUUGAAGAUGCGAUGAAAAGUUUCAAACUAUUUAGCUAACUAGUUUGUACAUGCAUCUUUCUGACACUAUCGCGACAUCUUUGUUUUUCGAGUAGUUGUAAACGGCUAUUUAUAAAAUAUGUGAGCCGCGCCAUGUGAAAACCAACAUAGUGGGUUUGCGACCAGCAUGGAUCCAGACCAGCCUGCGCAUCCGCGCAGUCUGGUCAGGAUCCAUGCUGUUCGCUUUUAAAGCCUAUUAGAAUUGGAGAAACUGUUAGCGAACAGCAUGGAUCCUGACCAGACUGGUCGCAAAGCCAUUAUGUUGGUUUUCUCAUGGCAUGGCUCAUGUUCUAACUGUUUGUUUGGUAAAUAUAUAGGGUAUAGGAAAGAAAUAAUUUAUUUUUGUAGUUAAUUUAACUUAUUCUUUAACUGCAUUUCACGAAAACUAUACACUUUAUACACAAAGGUAAAUAUACUCAUGCAUUAUGAACAAUUGUACAUCAAUGCAAGGUUUUUGUUUCUAAUGAAAUGACAGUUCGUGUGUAAAGGGACAAAAUCGCGCCACAUUAUCCACCUUUACAAUAUUUCGUGCUUAAAUUCCAUCAACUAUUAAAAUCAUCACUUUACAACUAAUUGCAAGAACUGGUCUGUUACACUGAUCUGUCUUAUCGAAUACAGUUAAUAUGUAGUAUCUAACGCGUGGAAGAGUCUAUUGCAAGAACGAGCCUAAUAGCAGAAACAUUUAGUUUAUUUUAUGUUUAGUUUUAUAUUUUCCCUUGUAUGGUUAUCAAGAUAAUAACUAUCCUGAUUUCAGAAUUUUGUGAAAAAGUUUGUGUUAUCAAUUUGUGUAGUAAAUCACAAAAAAAAAAAAAUAAAUAAAAAAAA